Astyanax mexicanus (Mexican tetra) is the source of this 233-nucleotide small nucleolar RNA. NCBI's taxonomy places the organism in Eukaryota, Metazoa, Chordata, Actinopteri, Characiformes, Acestrorhamphidae. The record is from Ensembl.
AACACGUUCCUUAGAUCCACCUCUAGGGGGUGCUCUUGCUUUGGCACUGCUCUGUCUCUCUGUUUGAGGCUCUGCAGCUCCAGAGUGGAGGCUCCCAGCAGCUUUUGGCUGUACAGUUGGAGGUGCUUGAGUCAUUGGCGUGUGAAAGCAGUCUACCUGCCCAUUCAGCCAAUAGCUGCACUGGCACCUUUUGUAGGUCUUCACCAGGGCAGAUGAGCUGGAAGGCGGACAAC